This 2920-nucleotide ribosomal RNA is filed under the name Bacillus thuringiensis. RNAcentral describes it as "23S ribosomal RNA". It matches the Rfam family "Bacterial large subunit ribosomal RNA". Lineage: Bacteria; Bacillati; Bacillota; Bacilli; Caryophanales; Bacillaceae. The record is from RNAcentral.
GGUUAAGUUAGAAAGGGCGCACGGUGGAUGCCUUGACACUAGGAGUCGAUGAAGGACGGGACUAACGCCGAUAUGCUUCGGGGAGCUGUAAGUAAGCUUUGAUCCGAAGAUUUCCGAAUGGGGAAACCCACCAUACGUAAUGGUAUGGUAUCCUUAUCUGAAUACAUAGGGUAAGGAAGACAGACCCAGGGAACUGAAACAUCUAAGUACCUGGAGGAAGAGAAAGCAAAUGCGAUUUCCUGAGUAGCGGCGAGCGAAACGGAACAUAGCCCAAACCAAGAGGCUUGCCUCUUGGGGUUGUAGGACAUUCUAUACGGAGUUACAAAGGAACGAGGUAGACGAAGCGACCUGGAAAGGUCCGUCGUAGAGGGUAACAACCCCGUAGUCGAAACUUCGUUCUCUCUUGAAUGUAUCCUGAGUACGGCGGAACACGUGAAAUUCCGUCGGAAUCUGGGAGGACCAUCUCCCAAGGCUAAAUACUCCCUAGUGAUCGAUAGUGAACCAGUACCGUGAGGGAAAGGUGAAAAGCACCCCGGAAGGGGAGUGAAAGAGAUCCUGAAACCGUGUGCCUACAAAUAGUCAGAGCCCGUUAACGGGUGAUGGCGUGCCUUUUGUAGAAUGAACCGGCGAGUUACGAUCCCGUGCGAGGUUAAGCUGAAGAGGCGGAGCCGCAGCGAAAGCGAGUCUGAAUAGGGCGUUUAGUACGUGGUCGUAGACCCGAAACCAGGUGAUCUACCCAUGUCCAGGGUGAAGUUCAGGUAACACUGAAUGGAGGCCCGAACCCACGCACGUUGAAAAGUGCGGGGAUGAGGUGUGGGUAGCGGAGAAAUUCCAAUCGAACCUGGAGAUAGCUGGUUCUCCCCGAAAUAGCUUUAGGGCUAGCCUUAAGUGUAAGAGUCUUGGAGGUAGAGCACUGAUUGGACUAGGGGUCCUCAUCGGAUUACCGAAUUCAGUCAAACUCCGAAUGCCAAUGACUUAUCCUUAGGAGUCAGACUGCGAGUGAUAAGAUCCGUAGUCAAAAGGGAAACAGCCCAGACCGCCAGCUAAGGUCCCAAAGUGUGUAUUAAGUGGAAAAGGAUGUGGAGUUGCUUAGACAACUAGGAUGUUGGCUUAGAAGCAGCCACCAUUUAAAGAGUGCGUAAUAGCUCACUAGUCGAGUGACUCUGCGCCGAAAAUGUACCGGGGCUAAAUACACCACCGAAGCUGCGGAUUGAUACCAAUGGUAUCAGUGGUAGGGAGCGUUCUAAGGACAGUGAAGUCAGACCGUAAGGACUGGUGGAGUGCUUAGAAGUGAGAAUGCCGGUAUGAGUAGCGAAAGACGGGUGAGAAUCCCGUCCACCGAAUGCCUAAGGUUUCCUGAGGAAGGCUCGUCCGCUCAGGGUUAGUCAGGACCUAAGCCGAGGCCGACAGGCGUAGGCGAUGGACAACAGGUUGAUAUUCCUGUACCACCUCUUUAUCGUUUGAGCAAUGGAGGGACGCAGAAGGAUAGAAGAAGCGUGCGAUUGGUUGUGCACGUCCAAGCAGUUAGGCUGAUAAGUAGGCAAAUCCGCUUAUCAUAAAGGCUGAGCUGUGAUGGGGAAGCUCCUUAUGGAGCGAAGUCUUUGAUUCCCCGCUGCCAAGAAAAGCUUCUAGCGAGAUAAAAGGUGCCUGUACCGCAAACCGACACAGGUAGGCGAGGAGAGAAUCCUAAGGUGUGCGAGAGAACUCUGGUUAAGGAACUCGGCAAAAUGACCCCGUAACUUCGGGAGAAGGGGUGCUUUCUUAACGGAAAGCCGCAGUGAAUAGGCCCAAGCGACUGUUUAGCAAAAACACAGCUCUCUGCGAAGCCGUAAGGCGAAGUAUAGGGGGUGACACCUGCCCGGUGCUGGAAGGUUAAGGAGAGGGGUUAGCGUAAGCGAAGCUCUGAACUGAAGCCCCAGUAAACGGCGGCCGUAACUAUAACGGUCCUAAGGUAGCGAAAUUCCUUGUCGGGUAAGUUCCGACCCGCACGAAAGGUGUAACGAUUUGGGCACUGUCUCAACCAGAGACUCGGUGAAAUUAUAGUACCUGUGAAGAUGCAGGUUACCCGCGACAGGACGGAAAGACCCCGUGGAGCUUUACUGUAGCCUGAUAUUGAAUUUUGGUACAGUUUGUACAGGAUAGGCGGGAGCCAUUGAAACCGGAGCGCUAGCUUCGGUGGAGGCGCUGGUGGGAUACCGCCCUGACUGUAUUGAAAUUCUAACCUACGGGUCUUAUCGACCCGGGAGACAGUGUCAGGUGGGCAGUUUGACUGGGGCGGUCGCCUCCUAAAGUGUAACGGAGGCGCCCAAAGGUUCCCUCAGAAUGGUUGGAAAUCAUUCGUAGAGUGCAAAGGCAUAAGGGAGCUUGACUGCGAGACCUACAAGUCGAGCAGGGACGAAAGUCGGGCUUAGUGAUCCGGUGGUUCCGCAUGGAAGGGCCAUCGCUCAACGGAUAAAAGCUACCCCGGGGAUAACAGGCUUAUCUCCCCAAGAGUCCACAUCGACGGGGAGGUUUGGCACCUCGAUGUCGGCUCAUCGCAUCCUGGGGCUGUAGUCGGUCCCAAGGGUUGGGCUGUUCGCCCAUUAAAGCGGUACGCGAGCUGGGUUCAGAACGUCGUGAGACAGUUCGGUCCCUAUCCGUCGUGGGCGUAGGAAAUUUGAGAGGAGCUGUCCUUAGUACGAGAGGACCGGGAUGGACGCACCGCUGGUGUACCAGUUGUUCUGCCAAGGGCAUAGCUGGGUAGCUAUGUGCGGAAGGGAUAAGUGCUGAAAGCAUCUAAGCAUGAAGCCCCCCUCAAGAUGAGAUUUCCCAUAGCGUAAGCUAGUAAGAUCCCUGAAAGAUGAUCAGGUUGAUAGGUUCGAGGUGGAAGCAUGGUGACAUGUGGAGCUGACGAAUACUAAUAGAUCGAGGACUUAACCAU